UUGACCUCGGAUCAGGUAGGGAUACCCGCUGAACUUAAGCAUAUCAAUAAGCGGAGGAAAAGAAACCAACAGGGAUUGCUCUAGUAACGGCGAGUGAAGCAGCAAUAGCUCAAAUUUGAAAUCUGGCGUCUUCGACGUCCGAGUUGUAAUUUGUAGAGGAUGCUUCUGAGUAACCACCGACCUAAGUUCCUUGGAACAGGACGUCAUAGAGGGUGAGAAUCCCGUAUGCGGUCGGAAAGGUGCUCUAUACGUAGCUCCUUCGACGAGUCGAGUUGUUUGGGAAUGCAGCUCUAAAUGGGAGGUAAAUUUCUUCUAAAGCUAAAUAUUGGCCAGAGACCGAUAGCGCACAAGUAGAGUGAUCGAAAGAUGAAAAGCACUUUGGAAAGAGAGUUAAAAAGCACGUGAAAUUGUUAAAAGGGAAGGGAUUGCAACCAGACUUGCUCGCGGUGUUCCGCCGGUCUUCUGACCGGUCUACUCGCCGCGUUGCAGGCCAGCAUCGUCUGGUGCCGCUGGAUAAGACUUGAGGAAUGUAGCUCCCUCGGGAGUGUUAUAGCCUCUUGUGAUGCAGCGAGCGCCGGGCGAGGUCCGCGCUUCGGCUAGGAUGCUGGCGUAAUGGUCGUAAUCCGCCCGUCUUGAAACACGGACCAAGGAGUCUAACAUCUAUGCGAGUGUUCGGGUGUCAAACCCCUACGCGUAAUGAAAGUGAACGGAGGUGAGAACCGCAAGGUGCAUCAUCGACCGAUCCUGAUGUCUUCGGAUGGAUUUGAGUAAGAGCAUAGCUGUUGGGACCCGAAAGAUGGUGAACUAUGCCUGAAUAGGGUGAAGCCAGAGGAAACUCUGGUGGAGGCUCGCAGCGGUUCUGACGUGCAAAUCGAUCGUCAAAUUUGGGUAUAGGGGCGAAAGACUAAUCGAACCAUCUAGUAGC
This 925-nucleotide ribosomal RNA is filed under the name Cladosporium uredinicola. Its description in RNAcentral is "eukaryotic LSU rRNA". It matches the Rfam family "Eukaryotic large subunit ribosomal RNA", at positions 1 to 951 of the family's 3401-position model. The record is from RNAcentral. Lineage: Eukaryota; Fungi; Ascomycota; Dothideomycetes; Cladosporiales; Cladosporiaceae.